UGGGGAAUCUUGCACAAUGGGCGAAAGCCUGAUGCAGCAACGCCGCGUGCGGGAAGACAGCCCUAGGGUUGUAAACCGCUUUCAGCAGGGAAGAAACUGACGGUACCUGCAGAAGAAGAUGCGGCCAACUACGUGCCAGCAGCCGCGGUGACACGUAGGCAUCAAGCGUUAUCCGGAUUUAUUGGGCGUAAAGAGCUCGUAGGCGGUCCGUUGCGUCUGCCGUGAAAACCCGGAGCUCAACUCCGGGCCUGCGGUGGAUACGGGCGGACUAGAGUCCGGUAGGGGAGACUGGAAUUCCUGGUGUAGCGGUGGAAUGCGCAGAUAUCAGGAGGAACACCGGUGGCGAAGGCGGGUCUCUGGGCCGGAACUGACGCUGAGGAGCG
This 383-nucleotide ribosomal RNA is filed under the name uncultured bacterium. RNAcentral describes it as "bacterial SSU rRNA". It matches the Rfam family "Bacterial small subunit ribosomal RNA", at positions 355 to 755 of the family's 1533-position model. The record is from RNAcentral.